GACGAACGCUGGCGGCGUGCUUAACACAUGCAAGUCGAACGGAAAGGCCCUGCUUUUGUGGGGUGCUCGAGUGGCGAACGGGUGAGUAACACGUGAGUAACCUGCCCUUGACUUUGGGAUAACUUCAGGAAACUGGGGCUAAUACCGGAUAGGAGCUCCUGCUGCAUGGUGGGGGUUGGAAAGUUUCGGCGGUUGGGGAUGGACUCGCGGCUUAUCAGCUUGUUGGUGGGGUAGUGGCUUACCAAGGCUUUGACGGGUAGCCGGCCUGAGAGGGUGACCGGCCACAUUGGGACUGAGAUACGGCCCAGACUCCUACGGGAGGCAGCGGUGGGGAGUAUUGCACAAUGGGCGGGAGCCUGAUGCAGCAACGCCGCGUGCGGGAUGACGGCCUUCGGGUUGUAAACCGCUUUCGCCUGUGACGAAGCGUGAGUGACGGUAAUGGGUAAAGAAGCACCGGCUAACUACGUG
RNAcentral lists this ribosomal RNA (468 nucleotides) under uncultured bacterium. RNAcentral's name for it is "partial 16S ribosomal RNA". It matches the Rfam family "Bacterial small subunit ribosomal RNA", at positions 28 to 507 of the family's 1533-position model. The record is from RNAcentral.